CUACGGGACGCUGCAGUGGGGAAUAUUGCACAAUGGACGAAAGUCUGAUGCAGCAACGCCGCGUGGAGGAUGACACAUUUCGGUGCGUAAACUCCUUUUAUAUAGGAAGAUAAUGACGGUACUAUAUGAAUAAGCACCGGCUAACUCCGUGCCAGCAGCCGCGGUAAUACGGAGGGUGCAAGCGUUACUCGGAAUCACUGGGCGUAAAGAGCGUGUAGGCGGGUUAAUAAGUUGGAAGUGAAAUCCUAUGGCUCAACCAUAGAACUGCUUCCAAAACUGUUAACCUAGAAUAUGGGAGAGGUAGAUGGAAUUUCUGGUGUAGGGGUAAAAUCCGUAGAGAUCAGAAGGAAUACCGAUUGCGAAGGCGAUCUACUGGAACAUUAUUGACGCUGAGACGCGAAAGCGUGGGGAGCAAACAGGAUUAGAUACCCGUGUAGUC
Molecule: ribosomal RNA, 439 nt
Filed under: uncultured bacterium
Lineage: Bacteria
Description: partial 16S ribosomal RNA
Rfam family: Bacterial small subunit ribosomal RNA
Source: RNAcentral